Molecule: long non-coding RNA, 1118 nt
Organism: Carassius carassius (crucian carp)
Lineage: Eukaryota; Metazoa; Chordata; Actinopteri; Cypriniformes; Cyprinidae
Exons: 3
Source: RefSeq, a predicted model, not a curated record
UUCAUUUUCUUUAUCCUUAAUGUAGUCUUACCAUUUGUGUGGCUUUCGCCAUAACACGUCAGUUCUUGCUAUAUAAACUCAGGAUGUUGAAUUAAUGACAUAAUUUAUCUCUGACUGCAUUCUGAUAUUGGUGGACUAAAAUUUUUUUUGGCGCUACUGAACAAAAUUCAGAGAUCUGAUCUUGUAAUAUUUAAUGUACAUAAUCGAUAUUAUAAUGACCAGUAAUAUUCAAUAUAUCAGCCACCUCUAGAAAUAAUGCUGUUUUUUCUGUUUCAUUUUGCAUUUGAAGAGCUAGAUGUUCCAUUACUGCUUUUGUUGUAAUAUGUUUCUACUUAUCUGGAGUUAUUCAUUUUUGCAGGAUCAGUACAGUUUUGUUUCUGGAGAUACAAUGUGGAGACACAGACCAGUACUGAAGAGGUAACAAACCAAAGGAUGAGGACAGUAGCUUUUGUGUGCCAGCCGUGGUACAUACCGGAACAUCCUUCGUGAAGAUGUGUGAGAGAAGCUUGCAAGGCAAGAUGAAAUUAUUUUUUUCAUAUAAGAAAAUAAUAUAUAUUUUUGAAUGGUAGAGUUAUGUUUUAUUCCCUGUGAAGUAGAAAUAAUGAAUGUUUGUAAAAAUGUAAUCUAUUUUUUAAGCCUAGUGAAGAUGGUGUGAUCAGGAAUUCUGCUGUUUAUGGGAAAUCUGAAGGAACAUUUCCCAGCAUUCUACCACCAUGUUGCCCUGAUAAUGUUAAUUCGGCUCUUAGGAAUUUUUUGGACUUUCCUGCCUCUUUGGAACAUUUUUUCAUUUUUUUCACAGACUGUGGAGAGAUGGUGUGCAGCUUCAUGACGUGAAGUUUACUUCCGAUGAAGAGCUUUGGGGACAUUGACAGAUAACACGUCCCAGCAAGUUCAUUUGGAGUUCUGUUUUUAAUUUUUUAUUUAGUCAAACUUGCAUUCACUAAUGCUGGGGUAUGAUUUUAGAAGAAAACCUUUAGUCCUGUUUAAUGUUGGAGCUAAUAAAGAUUUGAGAACUAAUGGCCUGGAUUCACAGACAGGGCUUAGACUAAGCCUGGAUCAUAGUUCAAUAAGGACAUCUAGGUAAUUUUUCCUUGACAUGCCUUAGAAAAAAUAAGGCA